AGAAACACCGGUUCCCUACGAUCACCGAAGUUAAGCAACGUCGAACCAGAUCAGUAUCUAGAUGGGUGACCGCUUGAGAAUACCAGGGGCU
Acanthosepion pharaonis is the source of this 91-nucleotide non-coding RNA. The record is from the annotation of a GenBank genome assembly. Lineage: Eukaryota; Metazoa; Mollusca; Cephalopoda; Sepiida; Sepiidae.